RNAcentral lists this transfer RNA (85 nucleotides) under Felis catus (domestic cat). It matches the Rfam family "tRNA". Rfam says of the family: Transfer RNA (tRNA) molecules are approximately 80 nucleotides in length. The record is from Rfam by way of RNAcentral. Lineage: Eukaryota; Metazoa; Chordata; Mammalia; Carnivora; Felidae.
GCCUGGGUGGCUCAGUUGGUAGACCGUCUGACUUCCACUCAGAUCAUGCUCUCACGGUUUGUGAGUUCAAGCCUUGCAUCAGGCU